Long non-coding RNA from Cyprinus carpio (common carp), 479 nucleotides. The record is from Ensembl. Lineage: Eukaryota; Metazoa; Chordata; Actinopteri; Cypriniformes; Cyprinidae.
ACGUAAUUGGUCAAGCUGAGAAUCACAGCCAUUAACGAGCGAGUCGAAGAUUGUGUGCAUUUGCAUCGUGACGCAGUUAGAACUACUUCGACUUGGUUUCCACCAACUUGUUACAUUGAUCGUGCACGUUAACCGAUUCAAAGGAUUGACUGGAGAUGACUCAGAGGAAAGGAAAGGUUUGUCAAAUGCUUUAAUAUGAUUUUAAAUAUUUUUGCAUCCCACCCCAUUCACCCCAUUAUCCGUGUAAUGAAGUAACGUUAUGUGUAACUAUUUUAUGUGAAAUGACAUCUGAACUUGCCAAAAAACAUAUUAAAGUAUAGUUCAAAGCUGUAAAUUUAAAACGUGUUUUUAAGUGCUAAAGUUUAUGUAGUGUUUCUGUUUUAAAAUGUGUACCACCUACAUCAUGGAGUAACAGUUAUAUAAUUAAUUUUACUGACGCUGAAAAUAAAUUAAUUUAGGGUUUUUGAUGUUAUAGUAAU